AUUGAACGCUGGCGGCAUGCCUUACACAUGCAAGUCGAACGGUAACGGGCCUUCGGGUGCCGUCGAGUGGCGCACGGGUGAGUAAUACAACGGAACGUGCCCGAUCGUGGGGGAUAACGAGGCGAAAGCUUUGCUAAUACCGCAUACGAUCUACGGAUGAAAGCCGGGGACCGCAAGGCUUUACGCGGACGGAGCGGCCGCUGGCAGAUUAGGUAGUUGGUGGGAUAAAAGCUUACCAAGCCGACGAUCUGUAGCUGGUCUGAGAGGAUGAUCAGCCACACUGGGACUGAGACACGGCCCAGACUCCUACGGGAGGCAGCAGUGGGGAAUUUUGGACAAUGGGCGCAAGCCUGAUCCAGCCAUGCCGCGUGCAGGAUGAAGGCCUUCGGGUUGUAAACUGCUUUUGUACGGAACGAAAAGCCUUCUUUUAAUACAGGAGGGUCAUGACGGUACCGUAAGAAUAAGCACCGGCUAACUACGUG
RNAcentral lists this ribosomal RNA (482 nucleotides) under uncultured bacterium. RNAcentral's name for it is "partial 16S ribosomal RNA". It matches the Rfam family "Bacterial small subunit ribosomal RNA", at positions 30 to 507 of the family's 1533-position model. The record is from RNAcentral.